Molecule: ribosomal RNA, 492 nt
Filed under: uncultured bacterium
Lineage: Bacteria
Description: partial 16S ribosomal RNA
Rfam family: Bacterial small subunit ribosomal RNA
Source: RNAcentral
AGUGAACGCUGGCGGUAGGCCUAACACAUGCGAGUCGAACGGCAGCACAGUAAGAGCUUGCUCUUACGGGUGGCGAGUGGCGGACGGGUGAGGAAUACAUCGGAAUCUACUUUUUCGUGGGGGAUAACGUAGGGAAACUUACGCUAAUACCGCAUACGACCUACGGGUGAAAGCAGGGGAUCUUCGGACCUUGCGCGAUUGAAUGAGCCGAUGUCGGAUUAGCUAGUUGGCGGGGUAAAGGCCCACCAAGGCGACGAUCCGUAGCUGGUCUGAGAGGAUGAUCAGCCACACUGGAACUGAGACACGGUCCAGACUCCUACGGGAGGCAGCAGUGGGGGAUAUUGGACAAUGGGCGCAAGCCUGAUCCAGCCAUACCGCGUGGGUGAAGAAGGCCUUCGGGUUGUAAAGCCCUUUUGUUGGGAAAGAAAAGCAGCAGGUUAAUACCCCGCUGUUCUGACGGUACCCAAAGAAUAAGCACCGGCUAACUUCGUG